AUUGGGAGGACCCUGCCUAGGGGACUUAGGGAGGAAGGAAGGACGAGGCCGGACACCCCGGCGCGCACACACACCUGCUGUCCAGGUAAGCCUCAGCCGGUGCUGCAGGCAGUCUGACUCGCAGUCCCUCAAGUGACUUCCAAGGAGCAUCUGUAGAAAAGAAGAUGGCCCAGGUCCUGCACGUGCCUGCCCCCUUCCCAGGGACCCCUGGCCCAGCCUCCCCACCUGCCUUCCCUGCCAAGGACCCCGAUCCACCCUACUCCGUGGAGACCCCGUAUGGCUACCGCCUGGACCUGGACUUCCUCAAGUACGUGGAUGACAUCGAGAAGGGCCACACGCUGCGACGCGUGGCAGUGCAGCGCCGCCCCCGCCUGAGCUCGCUGCCCCGUGGCCCUGGCUCCUGGUGGACGUCCACUGAGUCGCUGUGCUCCAAUGCCAGUGGGGACAGCCGCCACUCAGCCUAUUCCUACUGCGGCCGUGGCUUCUACCCUCAGUAUGGUGCUCUGGAGACCCGCGGUGGCUUCAAUCCGCGGGUGGAGCGCACGCUGCUGGAUGCCCGUCGCCGUCUCGAGGACCAGGCGGCCACACCCACCGGCCUGGGCUCCCUGACCCCCAGUGCGGCCGGCUCGACAGCCUCCCUGGUGGGCGUGGGGUUGCCACCCCCGACACCACGGAGUUCAGGACUGUCUACACCGGUGCCUCCCAGUGCCGGGCACCUGGCCCACGUGCGGGAGCAGAUGGCGGGUGCCCUGCGGAAGCUGCGGCAGCUGGAGGAGCAGGUGAAGCUGAUCCCUGUGCUCCAGGUGAAGCUCUCGGUGCUCCAGGAGGAAAAGCGGCAGCUCACAGUACAACUUAAGAGCCAGAAGUUCCUGGGCCACCCCACAGCGGGCCGGGGUCGCAGCGAGCUCUGCCUGGACCUCCCCGAUCCCCCAGAGGACCCAGUGGCACUGGAGACCCGGAGUGUGGGCACCUGGGUCCGAGAACGGGACUUGGGCAUGCCUGAUGGGGAGGCUGCCCUCGCCUCCAAGGUCGCUGUGCUGGAGACCCAGCUCAAGAAGGCGCUGCAGGAGCUGCAGGCAGCUCAGGCCCGGCAGGCUGACCCUCAGCCCCAGGCCUGGCCACCGCCGGACAGCCCGGUCCGCGUGGAUACAGUCCGGGUGGUAGAAGGGCCACGGGAGGUGGAGGUGGUGGCCAGCACAGCCGCUGGCGCCCCCGCACAGCGGGCCCAGAGCCUGGAGCCUUACGGCGCAGGGCUGAGGGCCCUGGCAAUGCCUGGUAGGCCUGAGAGCCCACCUGUGUUCCGCAGCCAGGAGGUGGUGGAGACAAUGUGCCCAGUGCCCGCUGCAGCUACCAGCAACGUCCAUAUGGUGAAGAAGAUUAGCAUCACAGAGCGAAGCUGCGAUGGAGCAGCAGGUAAGCGGUCGCAGGCAGGCAGGGGAGAAUGGCUUGGGUGGGGGGGCCUCUUUCUUCCCAUGGCUCAUCCUGGACUCUCAGAAUGCCAGGGUCCAGGCAGGGUGCGGUGGCGCAUGCCUGUAAUCCCAGCACUUUGGGAGGCCGAGGCGGGCAGAUCACUUGAGGUCAGGAGUUGGAGACCAGCCUGGCCAACAUGGUGAAACCCAUCUCUACUAAAAAUACAAAAAUUAGCCAGGUGUGGUGGCGUGCGCCUGUAACCUCAGCUACCCAGGAGGCUGAGGCAGGAGAAUCGCUUGAACUGGGGAAGCGGAGGUUGCAGUGAGCUGAGAUUACACCACUGCACUCCAGCCUGGGCAACAGAGGGAGACUCUGUCUCAAAAAAAAAAAAAAAAAAAAA
This 1810-nucleotide small RNA is filed under the name Pan troglodytes (chimpanzee). Its description in RNAcentral is "retained intron". Lineage: Eukaryota; Metazoa; Chordata; Mammalia; Primates; Hominidae. The record is from RNAcentral.